GAUGAACGCUGGCGGCGUGCCUAAUACAUGCAAGUCGAGCGAACAGAUGAGGAGCUUGCUCCUCUGACGUUAGCGGCGGACGGGUGAGUAACACGUGGAUAACCUACCUAUAAGACUGGGAUAACUUCGGGAAACCGGAGCUAAUACCGGAUAAUAUAUUGAACCGCACGGUUCAAUAGUGAAAGACGGUUUUGCUGUCACUUAUAGAUGGAUCCGCGCCGCAUUAGCUAGUUGGUAAGGUAACGGCUUACCAAGGCAACGAUGCGUAGCCGACCUGAGAGGGUGAUCGGCCACACUGGAACUGAGACACGGUCCAGACUCCUACGGGAGGCAACAGUAGGGAAUCUUCCGCAAUGGGCGAAAGCCUGACGGAGCAACGCCGCGUGAGUGAUGAAGGUCUUCGGAUCGUAAAACUCUGUUAUUAGGGAAGAACAAAUGUGUAAGUAACUAUGCACGUCUUGACGGUACCUAAUCAGAAAGCCACGGCUAACUACGUG
Molecule: ribosomal RNA, 497 nt
Filed under: uncultured bacterium
Lineage: Bacteria
Description: partial 16S ribosomal RNA
Rfam family: Bacterial small subunit ribosomal RNA
Source: RNAcentral